UGGUUCUGGCAUCGAUGAAGAACGCAGCGAAAUGCGAUAAGUAAUGUGAAUUGCAGAAUUCAGUGAAUCAUCGAAUCUUUGAACGCACAUUGCGCCCGCCAGUAUUCUGGCGGGCAUGCCUGUCCGAGCGUCAUUUCAACCCUCGAGCCCCUCCGGGGGGUCGGCGUUGGGGAUCGGCCCCUCACCGGGCCGGCCCCGAAAUGCAGUGGCGGUCUCGCCGCAGCCUCUCAUGCGCAGUAGUUUGCACACUCGCACCGGGAGCGCGGCGCGUCCACGUCCGUGAAACAACCCAAACUUCUGAAAUGUUGACCUCGGAUCAGGUAGGAAUACCCGCUGA
This 337-nucleotide unclassified non-coding RNA is filed under the name uncultured fungus. Its description in RNAcentral is "partial contains 5.8S ribosomal RNA and internal transcribed spacer 2". The stretch from base 1 to 133 matches the Rfam family "5.8S ribosomal RNA", at positions 22 to 154 of the family's 154-position model. The record is from RNAcentral. Lineage: Eukaryota; Fungi.